AAAUUGACGGGGGCCCGCACAAGCGUGGAGCAUGUGGUUUAAUUCGAAGCAACGCGAAGAACCUUACCAGGUCUUGACAUCCCGAUGCUAUUUCUAGAGAUAGAAAGUUACUUCGGUACAUCGGUGACAGGUGGUGCAUGGUUGUCGUCAGCUCGUGUCGUGAGAUGUUGGGUUAAGUCCCGCAACGAGCGCAACCCCUAUUGUUAGUUGCCAUCAUUCAGUUGGGCACUCUAGCGAGACUGCCGGUAAUAAACCGGAGGAAGGUGGGAUGACGUCAAAUCAUCAUGCCCCUUAUGACCUGGGCUACACACGUGCUACAAUGGUUGGUACAACGAGUUGCGAGUCGGUGACGGCGAGCUAAUCUCUUAAAGCCAAUCUCAGUUCGGAUUGUAGGCUGCAACUCGCCUACAUGAAGUCGGAAUCGCUAGUAAUCGCGGAUCAGCACGCCGCGGUGAAUACGUUCCCGGGCCUU
This 472-nucleotide ribosomal RNA is filed under the name uncultured Streptococcus sp. Its description in RNAcentral is "bacterial SSU rRNA". It matches the Rfam family "Bacterial small subunit ribosomal RNA", at positions 908 to 1382 of the family's 1533-position model. The record is from RNAcentral. Lineage: Bacteria; Bacillati; Bacillota; Bacilli; Lactobacillales; Streptococcaceae.